Gossypium hirsutum (cotton) is the source of this 108-nucleotide non-coding RNA. NCBI's taxonomy places the organism in Eukaryota, Viridiplantae, Streptophyta, Magnoliopsida, Malvales, Malvaceae. The record is from Rfam.
AACCCAUGGUGAGGGCACCUUCUUAAAAGGUCCUUGUAUCUCUCCCAUCCAUCGUAGAUUGUUUCUAAAAUCCAUCUGUACAAAAGAAGAGAUAUCAUUACGUAAUUU